AACUUUCGACAACGGAUCUCUCGGCUCUCGCAUCGAUGAAGAACGCAGCGAAAUGCGAUACGUCAUGUGAAUUGCAGAAUUCAGUGAAUCAUCGAAUCUUUGAACGCACCUUGCGCCCCUUGGCAUUCCGAGGGGCACACCCGAUUGAGUGUCGUGAAAUUCUCAAAACCUUUUCCUUUGCCGGAAAGGAUUUUGGACUUGGCGUCCUUUUGCUGGUUUCACCUCGAAGCGAGCUCCUCCCAAAUGGUUUAGUGGGGUCUGCUUUGACGAUCCUUGACGUGAUAAGAUGCUUCUACGUCUCGGGUUUUGGCACUGUGCCUCUGCUUCUAACCGUCUCAUUGACAACGAUGGUGUUCCGGUCACCGCCGAUUCGUCGGUGGGAGGCUUGACCCACAAAACGACCUUGACCUCAAAUCGGGUGAGACUACCCGCUGAACUUAAGCAUAUCAAUAAGCGGAGGCU
Molecule: unclassified non-coding RNA, 462 nt
Filed under: uncultured Russula
Lineage: Eukaryota; Fungi; Basidiomycota; Agaricomycetes; Russulales; Russulaceae
Description: sequence contains ITS2
Rfam family: 5.8S ribosomal RNA (bases 1-154)
Source: RNAcentral